RNAcentral lists this long non-coding RNA (226 nucleotides) under Elaeis guineensis (African oil palm). RNAcentral's name for it is "long non-coding RNA (EGUI_LNC008101)". Lineage: Eukaryota; Viridiplantae; Streptophyta; Magnoliopsida; Arecales; Arecaceae. The record is from RNAcentral.
ACAUGAUACAUAGAAUAAUAUAUUGCAUGAUAUUGUGCGGUUCAUACAAUGAGAACUAGUGCAUGCAAUGCUAGAAUGAUUAUUAUUGCAAAACUAGCUAGACUACUCCAUUUCAACCCUACACUAAAGGCAUCCAAACCCAAAUGAUUUUCUCGUCUAUUAUUCCCUGCUUUAAUAGCUUAACUUCAAGCAACAAGAUCGUUGCACAUGUGAUAAAGUAAAGAUG